AUGAUAAAAUUUUCAGAUUAAGAUGAAGGCUUGAAUAAGGACAGAGGCAAAGACAAAGUGCAAAGUUUCUUUAUGUUGUAGUUAAAUUUAUUAAUUUUUCUGAUGAAAAUAGUAUUGUAAAUCUUCUAAGAUAUUGAGGUAUGUAUUAAGUUAAGGUUGUAGACCUUGGGGAAUGAUGUGUAAAAGUUUAAUGUGUAAACAAUUUAUGUUUAUAUCUUCCGCAAUAGUGAUAGAAAUAGUAUACCGGAUCCGUGGCGAUUUGGGACCCGGAUUCGGGGAUGCUACAG
This 287-nucleotide long non-coding RNA is filed under the name Panax ginseng (ginseng). RNAcentral describes it as "long non-coding RNA (PGIN_LNC002280)". Lineage: Eukaryota; Viridiplantae; Streptophyta; Magnoliopsida; Apiales; Araliaceae. The record is from RNAcentral.